CACGUAGGGGGCGAGCGUUGUCCGGAUUUAUUGGGCGUAAAGAGCUCGUAGGCGGUUUGGCAAGUCGGGUGUGAAAACUCCGGGCUCAACUCGGAGACGCCACUCGAUACUGCCAUGACUCGAGUCCGGUAGGGGAGUGCGGAAUUCCUGGUGUAGCGGUGAAAUGCGCAGAUAUCAGGAGGAACACCGGUGGCGAAGGCGGCACUCUGGGCCGGUACUGACGCUGAGGAGCGAAAGCGUGGGGAGCGAACAGG
Molecule: ribosomal RNA, 254 nt
Filed under: uncultured bacterium
Lineage: Bacteria
Description: partial 16S ribosomal RNA
Rfam family: Bacterial small subunit ribosomal RNA
Source: RNAcentral